This is a non-coding RNA of Candidatus Hamiltonella defensa 5AT (Acyrthosiphon pisum), 115 nucleotides long. NCBI's taxonomy places the organism in Bacteria, Pseudomonadati, Pseudomonadota, Gammaproteobacteria, Enterobacterales, Enterobacteriaceae. The record is from Rfam.
GUCAAUUUCUGAAUUAGAGAUCGGGUCCAUUCUAUUACAUUUUUUGAGGUUAAAAAUUAUGUCUCUAAAUGCUGAACAAAAAGCCAAAGUAGUGCUUGAGCAUGGUAGUUCUGCU